AGUGAACGCUAGCGGUAGGCCUAACACAUGCAAGUCGAACGGCAGCACAGGAGAGCUUGCUCUCUGGGUGGCGAGUGGCGGACGGGUGAGGAAUACAUCGGAAUCUGCCCAGUCGUGGGGGAUAACGUAGGGAAACUUACGCUAAUACCGCAUACGACCUUCGGGUGAAAGAGGGGGAUCGCAAGACCUCUCGCGAUUGGAUGAGCCGAUGUCGGAUUAGCUAGUUGGCGGGGUAAUGGCCCACCAAGGCGACGAUCCGUAGCUGGUCUGAGAGGAUGAUCAGCCACACUGGAACUGAGACACGGUCCAGACUCCUACGGGAGGCAGCAGUGGGGAAUAUUGGACAAUGGGCGCAAGCCUGAUCCAGCCAUACCGCGUGGGUGAAGAAGGCCUUCGGGUUGUAAAGCCCUUUUGUUGGGAAAGAAAUCUUUCAGGCUAAUACCCUGGGAGGAUGACGGUACCCAAAGAAUAAGCACCGGCUAACUUCGUG
RNAcentral lists this ribosomal RNA (490 nucleotides) under uncultured bacterium. RNAcentral's name for it is "partial 16S ribosomal RNA". It matches the Rfam family "Bacterial small subunit ribosomal RNA", at positions 29 to 507 of the family's 1533-position model. The record is from RNAcentral.